CCUACGGUGUGCAGCAGUGGUGAAUAUUGGGCAAUGGGCGCAAGCCUGACCCAGCAACGCCGCGUGAAGGAAGAAGGCUUUCGGGUUGUAAACUUCUUUUAUCAGGGACGAAGCAAGUGACGGUACUUGAAGAAAAAGCAUCGGCUAACUCCGUGCCAGCAGCCGCGGUAAUACGGAGGAUGCGAGCGUUAUCCGGAUUUAUUGGGUUUAAAGGGUGCGUAGGCGGACUGUUAAGUCAGCGGUAAAAGCCCGGGGCUCAACCCCGGCGAGCCGUUGAAACUGGCUGUCUUGAGAUGUCGAGAGGUAUGCGGAAUGCGCAGUGUAGCGGUGAAAUGCUUAGAUAUUGCGCAGAACUCCGAUUGCGAAGGCAGCAUACCGGCGGCGAUCUGACGCUGAGGCACGAAAGCGUGGGUAUCGAACAGGAUUAGAUACCCGAGUAGUC
Molecule: ribosomal RNA, 442 nt
Filed under: uncultured bacterium
Lineage: Bacteria
Description: partial 16S ribosomal RNA
Rfam family: Bacterial small subunit ribosomal RNA
Source: RNAcentral